This 631-nucleotide long non-coding RNA is filed under the name Ananas comosus (pineapple). RNAcentral describes it as "long non-coding RNA (ACOM_LNC036789)". The record is from RNAcentral. Lineage: Eukaryota; Viridiplantae; Streptophyta; Magnoliopsida; Poales; Bromeliaceae.
CAAACGCAGACUGUGAGCUAGAUCAAUCCUCUCCAAGUGAGGAUACACUAUCACUAGGGUCAACAACCCAAUCCAAUCCUCUCCAAGUGAGGAUGCCCUACCACUAGGGUCAAUGUCUCAAUCGACUCAUCAACAACCUCUCCAUGUGAGGAUACCUUACUACUAGGGUUAACAUCUCUCGCGGAAUCAUUUGUUCCCGACAUUCAUGCAAGGCUAUUUAGCGUUUCUAAAUUCAUUGUUCACAAGGCAUUUUCUAAGGGAUCCACCUAUCCCUAGGUCCAUCGACCUCUAGUGUCAUUUUACACUACAUUAAUGCCACUCGUCAUCAUUCAAUGUUUGGAUGCCACUCGUUUGUUCUUUAACAAUAACACUACUUUCUAUGUCAUCAACACCCCCAUCGGGUUCAUCUCUAUCUUUAGCAUCAUAGGAUACACGUUCCGACCCAAUCCUCACCUAUCUAGUUACCAAGCGUUCCAAGUACACUAGGUUAUCAUUUAGAAAGCAUAAGGAAUGGUGCUACUAUGCAAUCCUACAGUGCAACAUGAAGAGAUGAGAUUAAAUGCAAUCUAAGACAUAGAAAGGAGUUCGAAAGCUUCGGGAUGACACCCCCCACCUUUAAUCGAUGUAGAGG